AGACGUAGGAGGCGAGCGUUAUCCGGAUUUAUUGGGCGUAAAGGGCAAGUAGGCGGUAGUCAAAGUUAGGUGUGACAUCUCCCGGCUCAACUGGGAGGGAGCGCUUAAAACUAGGCAACUAGAGGGCAGGAGAGGGAGGCGGAACUCCUAGUGUAGCGGUGGAAUGCUCAGAUACUAGGAAGAACACCAGUGGCGAAGGCGGCCUCCUGGACUGUACCUGACGCUGAGAGGCGAAAGCUAGGGUAGCAAACGGGCUUAGAUACCCCGGUAGUCCUAGCUGUAAACGGUGGAUACUGGGUAAUGGGGGUAAUCACUCCCCCAGUGCCGAAGCAAACGCGUUAAGUAUCCCGCCUGGGGACUACGAUCGCAAGGUUAAA
Molecule: ribosomal RNA, 377 nt
Filed under: uncultured bacterium
Lineage: Bacteria
Description: bacterial SSU rRNA
Rfam family: Bacterial small subunit ribosomal RNA
Source: RNAcentral